RNAcentral lists this ribosomal RNA (242 nucleotides) under uncultured eukaryote. RNAcentral's name for it is "partial small subunit ribosomal RNA". It matches the Rfam family "Eukaryotic small subunit ribosomal RNA", at positions 587 to 829 of the family's 1831-position model. The record is from RNAcentral.
AGCUCCAAUAGCGUAUAUUAAUGUUGUUGCAGUUAAAAAGCUCGUAGUUGGAUUUCUGAUGGGAGCAUUCGGUCGGUUCCGCAAGGGAUUGCACUUGUAUGUCUCCGGUCAUCCUCGAGGGAAGUGUGUCUGGCAUUAAGUUGUCGGGCAUAUGACGCUCGUCGUUUACUGUGAACAAAUUAGAGUGUUCAAAGCAGGCUUAGGCCGUUGAAUACAUUAGCAUGGAAUAAUGAGAUAAGACU